AGGAAAGUGCUGGAGACAGACACCCUCUAUCCACAGCAAAGACACGGAACAGGCAGUACUUUCCCCAGGCUGCCCCACACAUAGGCCUCAGCCCUGCCACCCUACUUGUAGGGGUUGAGAAGAGAGUUGAGUCUCCAUGGCCCAUUCAACCCUUGGCAUCU
RNAcentral lists this small RNA (161 nucleotides) under Chrysemys picta bellii (western painted turtle). RNAcentral's name for it is "TUC338 (ENSCPBG00000019020.1)". Lineage: Eukaryota; Metazoa; Chordata; Testudines; Emydidae. The record is from RNAcentral.